AGCGAACGCUGGCGGCAGGCUUAACACAUGCAAGUCGAGCGGGCGUAGCAAUACGUCAGCGGCAGACGGGUGAGUAACGCGUGGGAACGUACCUUUUGGUUCGGAACAACACAGGGAAACUUGUACUAAUACCGGAUAAGCCCUUACGGGGAAAGAUUUAUCGCCGAAAGAUCGGCCCGCGUCUGAUUAGCUAGUUGGUGAGGUAACGGCUCACCAAGGCGACGAUCAGUAGCUGGUCUGAGAGGAUGAUCAGCCACAUUGGGACUGAGACACGGCCCAAACUCCUACGGGAGGCAGCAGUGGGGAAUAUUGGACAAUGGGCGCAAGCCUGAUCCAGCCAUGCCGCGUGAGUGAUGAAGGCCCUAGGGUUGUAAAGCUCUUUUGUGCGGGAAGAUAAUGACGGUACCGCAAG
RNAcentral lists this ribosomal RNA (412 nucleotides) under uncultured bacterium. Its description in RNAcentral is "bacterial SSU rRNA". It matches the Rfam family "Bacterial small subunit ribosomal RNA", at positions 29 to 484 of the family's 1533-position model. The record is from RNAcentral.